AACCUUACCUGGUCUUGACAUAGUAAGAACUUUCCAGAGAUGGAUUGGUGCCUUCGGGAACUUACAUACAGGUGCUGCAUGGCUGUCGUCAGCUCGUGUUGUGAGAUGUUGGGUUAAGUCCCGCAACGAGCGCAACCCUUUUCCUUAUUUGCCAGCGGGUUAAGCCGGGAACUUUAAGGAUACUGCCAGUGACAAACUGGAGGAAGGCGGGGACGACGUCAAGUCAUCAUGGCCCUUACGACCAGGGCUACACACGUGCUACAAUGGUCGGUACAAAGGGUUGCUACCUAGCGAUAGGAUGCUAAUCUCAAAAAGCCGAUCGUAGUCCGGAUUGGAGUCUGCAACUCGACUCCAUGAAGUCGGAAUCGCUAGUAAUCGCGGAUCAGAAUGCCGCGGUGAAUACGUUCCCGGGCCUUGUACACACCGCCCGUCACACCAUGGGAGUUUGUUGCGCCAGAAGUAGGUAGUCUAACCGCAAGGAGGACGCUUACCACGGUGUGGCCGAUGACUGGGGUGAAGUCGUAACAAGGUAGGCGUAGAUGA
This 543-nucleotide ribosomal RNA is filed under the name uncultured bacterium. Its description in RNAcentral is "bacterial SSU rRNA". It matches the Rfam family "Bacterial small subunit ribosomal RNA", at positions 967 to 1509 of the family's 1533-position model. The record is from RNAcentral.